Long non-coding RNA from Bos taurus (domestic cattle), 1912 nucleotides. The record is from Ensembl. Lineage: Eukaryota; Metazoa; Chordata; Mammalia; Artiodactyla; Bovidae.
AUAUAUAUUGUAUGUAUAAUAAUAUAUAUAUUUAUAAUUAUAUAAAUAUAUAAUAUUUAUUUGAUCAGUGUUUUAUUAUAAUUUUGUUAUUUGAUUUUAUCCACACAGUUAGAUGUUCUUUGUCUUCUCAAACAAGUGAAGACAUUUAACAGACAGACAAAUGGAUGGAUUUGGGGGGUUUAUUAAGGAUAAUAUAAACUGUUAGCAAAACAAAUAAGUGUCUGCCAUUGAAGACGGAAAAACAGGAGGGGAAUAGAGGAAUUCACGACAAAGCAAAGAGAUGGGCAAUUUAAAAAUAAAUGAGAGAGAGAGGUUGGUUUACUGUAAGGAGUUGGCUUACACAGUUAUGGAGGCUGGGAAGUCCAGGAUCUACAGUUUUCAAGCUGGGGGCCUCGGGGAGCAGACAGGAUAAUUUCAGUCUGCGUCUGACAGCCUGAGAAGCAAGACUGUUGAUGUUUAAGUUCAAGUCUGAGUCUGAAAGCGGGAGAAGACCAAUGACCCAGAUACAGACAGGCAAAGAAUUCUUUCUUACUCAGGCUUUCAUUCUGCGCAGGCCCUCAGCAGAUUGGGUGAGGCCUGCCCACACGGGGAGGGCAAUCUGCUCGACUCAGCCUACUGAUUCAAACGUUGGCCUCAUCCAGAAACACCCUCACAGACACACUCAGAAAUAAUAUCUAACCUAUCUGGAUGUUCAGAGGCCCAGUCAUCACCCUCCAUUUACUUUUUUUUUUCCUUUCCUGUUUUGGUCUCUACCUUUAGAGGCUUUCCUCAGAUUUGUGGUGAUCCUUGGUUUUCCAUUCGUAUUUUAAAACAGGGAGCUAAAAACCUGCUGAGAACUUUGAGCAUCAGGGGGAGUUGACGAUGUGGGCUUCUCUGUAUGGCAAGCCACCUGUUGCCUUAUGUAACCCACGUUUUUGUAUCUUUAGGUCUCUCCAGAAAGUAUCUUCCAGUAUGUGCCUAGAAGAUACCGUCCUAGCUACCCGUGGUCUGGGAGCCAAGCCAGUGAGGAGUGGGGCGGAUCUCAGCCCUCAGUCCCCUGUGAGAAUCUCUAGCAUCGUCCUGUCUUCAGGCCGGUGCCCCAUCCCCACGGCUGCUGCUGUGCCUUUAUCCAGAGACUUGUGUUUUCAGCCGUUUAGUCUUGUUGGGGGCUUGGGGCCGUGCAGUGGUCUGGCUGUGUGAACAUGGGGAAGGGUUGGGGUUAGAGACACUCUCUAGUGACUAUCACCCAGUCCUUCUGUUUUCAGUCCCGUCUGCACCCACACUUCUGGAAACAGCUGGUACCACCAAGUACAGGCCACAGAGCCUGUGGGAGUCCUCAGCGCAGGCCGAGCUGCUCCUUGCCUUUCCUCACCCUGGGCCUCAGAUUCAGCGUGUCAUCUACGAGUCAGCGGUUACUCAUCCUUCAGUGUUCAAGCCCCGCCACGUUUUGUCGUCUCUGUGUGGUCUUGUGCGGUACAGGGUCCUUUUGCCGUCAUUUAGACGGGUUUCCAGGAGGAGCUGGAGGAAGUGCCUGUGUGUAGUCUGCACGUGGGGACUGACUGACUCGUGGGCUGGGAAGGAAAAGAUGCCGUUGUGCCGAAGCACAGCCGCCCCCAAGGACAUAUUGUUUGCGUCUUUUUCCUGCGGUAACAGCAGAGUCUAUCGCCAACAAAGCCUAAAAUAUCUACUAUCUGGUCCUUUAAGAAACAGUUUGCUGACUUCUGAUCUGAAUGACUAGUAGAAGAAUGGUUAAGCCAGUUAAGGGGCAUCACCCCAGUUUACCAGCUAUUUUUUAACUGGGAACGCGGGUUUAGUUCCUGCACCGGGAAGACGCCACAUGCCGAGGAGCAACUAAGCCCGUGCUCCACAACUGUCCUGUGCUCUGGAGCCUGCGGCCGCAACCACCGAAGCCUGCGUGCCUAGAGCCUGUGCC